RNAcentral lists this ribosomal RNA (588 nucleotides) under Malvinius sp. MAM1. Its description in RNAcentral is "partial 16S ribosomal RNA". It matches the Rfam family "Bacterial large subunit ribosomal RNA", at positions 1913 to 2742 of the family's 2925-position model. The record is from RNAcentral. Lineage: Eukaryota; Metazoa; Arthropoda; Insecta; Coleoptera; Curculionidae.
UGAGGAUUUAAAUGGCCGCGGUAUUUUGACCGUGCAAAGGUAGCAUAAUCAUUAGUUUUUUAAUUGAAAGCUUGUAUGAAAGGUUGGAUGAGAAAAUAGCUGUCUCUGCUUUAACUAUUUAGAAUUUUAUUUUUAAGUAAAAAAGCUUAAAUUUUAGUAGAAGACGAGAAGACCCUAUAGAGUUUUAUUUAUUUUUUGUUUAAAAUUUUAAGUAUUGAAAAUUUUUAUGUUUAAAAUAAAUUUAAUUGGGGUGAUUGAAAAAUUUAUUAAACUUUUUUUUUAUAUAAUCAUUAAUUUAUGAGUUUUUGAUCCUUUUAUAAAGAUUAUAAGAUUAAAUUACCUUAGGGAUAACAGCGUAAUUUUUUUAAAGAGUUCAAAUCGAAAAAAAAGAUUGCGACCUCGAUGUUGGAUUAAAAUAAAAUUUUGGUGUAGAAGCUAGGAUAUUUAGGUCUGUUCGACCUUUAAAAUUUUACAUGAUCUGAGUUUAAACCGGUGUGAGCCAGGUUGGUUUCUAUCUCUACUUUGUUAUAAUAUUUUAGUACGAAAGGACCAAGUAUUAGUUUGAUAAAUUUAUUUUAGAAUAAUAUU